RNAcentral lists this transfer RNA (72 nucleotides) under Ovis aries (sheep). It matches the Rfam family "tRNA". From Rfam's summary of the family: Transfer RNA (tRNA) molecules are approximately 80 nucleotides in length. Their secondary structure includes four short double-helical elements and three loops (D, anti-codon, and T loops). Lineage: Eukaryota; Metazoa; Chordata; Mammalia; Artiodactyla; Bovidae. The record is from Rfam by way of RNAcentral.
UCCCAGGUGGCUCAGAUGGUAGAGAAUCUGCCUGCAAAGCAGGAGACCUGGGUUUGAUUCCUGGGUCGGGAA